AUUGAACGNNNGCGGCGUGCCUAACACAUGCAAGUCGAGCGGUAACAGGUGUAGCAAUACAUGCUGACGAGCGGCGAACGGGUGAGUAAUGCUUUGGAAUCUUCCCAGUAGUGGGGAAUAACCAGUCGAAAGAUUGGCUAAUACCGCAUACGUCUGUAAAGGGAAAGCGGGGGCUCGUAAGACCUCGCGCUAUUGGAUGAGCCAAAGUCGGAUUAGCUAGUUGGUGGGGUAAUGGCCUACCAAGGCGACAAUCCGUAGCUGGUCUGAGAGGACGACCAGCCACACCGGAACUGAGACACGGUCCGGACUCCUACGGGAGGCAGCAGUGGGGAAUAUUGGACAAUGGGGGAAACCCUGAUCCAGCGACGCCGCGUGUGUGAAGAAGGCCUGCGGGUUGUAAAGCACUUUUAGUGGGGACAAAAAGCUACGGAUUAAUACUCUGUGGUCUUGAUUUAACCCAAAGAAAAAGCACCGGCUAACUCUGUGCCAGCAGCCGCGGUAAUACAGAGGGUGCGAGCGUUAAUCGGAAUUACUGGGCGUAAAGCGCGCGUAGACGGUUUUGUAAGUCAGAUGUGAAAUCCCUGGGCUCAACCUGGGAACUGCAUUUGUAACUGCAUGGCUAGAGUAUCGAAGAGGGAAGUGGAAUUUCCGGUGUAGCGGUGAAAUGCGUAGAUAUCGGAAGGAACACCAGUGGCGAAAGCGACUUCCUGGUCGAAUACUGACGUUCAUGUGCGAAAGCGUGGGGAGCAAACAGGAUUAGAUACCCUGGUAGUCCACGCCNUAAACGAUGACAACUAGAUGUUGGGAGGGUCUGCCUCUCGGUGUCGCAGCUAACGCGUUAAGUUGUCCGCCUGGGGAGUNCGGCCGCAAGGUUG
RNAcentral lists this ribosomal RNA (875 nucleotides) under uncultured bacterium. Its description in RNAcentral is "bacterial SSU rRNA". It matches the Rfam family "Bacterial small subunit ribosomal RNA", at positions 28 to 896 of the family's 1533-position model. The record is from RNAcentral.